Molecule: ribosomal RNA, 420 nt
Filed under: uncultured bacterium
Lineage: Bacteria
Description: bacterial SSU rRNA
Rfam family: Bacterial small subunit ribosomal RNA
Source: RNAcentral
AGUGAACGCUGGCGGCAGGCCUAACACAUGCAAGUCGAGCGGCAGCGCGUCCGACCACCCUCGGGUGGUCGGAUGGCGGCGAGCGGCGGACGGGUGAGGAAUGCAUCGGAAUCUGCCUCGUUGUGGGGGAUAACGUAGGGAAACUUACGCUAAUACCGCAUACGACCUACGGGUGAAAGUGGGGGACCUUCGGGCCUCACGCGAUGAGAUGAGCCGAUGCCGGAUUAGCUAGUUGGCGGGGUAAAGGCCCACCAAGGCGACGAUCCGUAGCUGGUCUGAGAGGAUGAUCAGCCACACUGGAACUGAGACACGGUCCAGACUCCUACGGGAGGCAGCAGUGGGGAAUAUUGGACAAUGGGGGGCAACCCUGAUCCAGCCAUGCCGCGUGUGUGAAGAAGGGCCUCGGUUGGUAAGUACGAC